This 96-nucleotide ribosomal RNA is filed under the name uncultured bacterium. RNAcentral describes it as "partial 16S ribosomal RNA". It matches the Rfam family "Bacterial small subunit ribosomal RNA", at positions 1384 to 1482 of the family's 1533-position model. The record is from RNAcentral.
UACACACGCCCGUCACACCAUGGGAGUUGGUUCUACCUUAAGUCAGUGUGCUAACCGCAAGGGGCAGCUGACCACGGUAGGUCAGCGACUGGGGUG